This 271-nucleotide ribosomal RNA is filed under the name uncultured archaeon. Its description in RNAcentral is "partial 16S ribosomal RNA". It matches the Rfam family "Archaeal small subunit ribosomal RNA", at positions 477 to 747 of the family's 1478-position model. The record is from RNAcentral.
CAGCGCCACGAGUGGCAACCAUAUUUAUUGGGCCUAAAGCGUCCGUAGCCGGUUUGGUAAGUCUUUUGUGAAAUCGUUGAGCUCAACUUAACGGUGUGCAAGAGAUACUGCCAGACUUGAAACUGGGAAGGGUCAGGGGUAUUCCGUGGGGAGCGGUAAAAUGUUAUAAUCCUCGGAAGACCACCUGUGGCGAAGGCGCCUGACUAGAACAGCUUUGACGGUGAGGGACGAAAGCCAGGGGAGCAAAACGGAUUAGAUACCCGAGUAGUCC